GCUGGGCAUGGUGGCGUGUGCCUGCAGUCCCAGCUACUUGAGGGGCUGAGGUGGGAGGAUCGCUUGAGCCCAGGAGGUCUACAGUGCAGUGCGCUGUGAUCGCCCCACUGCACUCCAGCCUUGGCUACAGAGUGAGACUCCGUCUCAA
Unclassified non-coding RNA from Macaca mulatta (Rhesus monkey), 148 nucleotides. It matches the Rfam family "Metazoan signal recognition particle RNA". Rfam says of the family: The signal recognition particle (SRP) is a universally conserved ribonucleoprotein. It is involved in the co-translational targeting of proteins to membranes. The eukaryotic SRP consists of a 300-nucleotide 7S RNA and six proteins: SRPs 72, 68, 54, 19, 14, and 9. NCBI's taxonomy places the organism in Eukaryota, Metazoa, Chordata, Mammalia, Primates, Cercopithecidae. The record is from Ensembl.